CCCCCCCCUGUAACAGUCGGCACUCCAUAGUUUUGGGGCGCUAGCGCUUCAUAAAAACAAACCAAGCAUGCACAUAAAUGUUCGAUGAUUUACGAACAAUGCUCGCCAAGGAAGCCAUCAAACCUUGAGCUUUUCAUCAGUUUAACGAUAUGGGAACAGUAUAAGGCUGUAACUGUAACAAGAUGUGCAUCAAGUUGAAAGUAAAUCGGUCUGUCUUUGAUGUCAGCACUCAGCAGGCACAGUGUUCUUACGGCUUUUGACAAGAAUAAACGUCUACAAGAAGCAUAGACUAUACAAGCCA
Long non-coding RNA from Strongylocentrotus purpuratus (purple sea urchin), 301 nucleotides. RefSeq lists it as uncharacterized. Lineage: Eukaryota; Metazoa; Echinodermata; Echinoidea; Camarodonta; Strongylocentrotidae. The transcript has 2 exons. The record is from RefSeq and is a predicted model, not a curated record.